GGGGAUUUAGCUCAGUGGUGGAGCACUUGCCUAGCAAGUGCAAGGCCCUGGGUUCAGUCCCCA
Molecule: transfer RNA, 63 nt
Filed under: Rattus norvegicus (Norway rat)
Lineage: Eukaryota; Metazoa; Chordata; Mammalia; Rodentia; Muridae
Rfam family: tRNA
About the family: Transfer RNA (tRNA) molecules are approximately 80 nucleotides in length. Their secondary structure includes four short double-helical elements and three loops (D, anti-codon, and T loops).
Source: Rfam by way of RNAcentral